AAACCCCAAGAUAUACAACAGCCACAAUACACAAUGCAUAACCUUUUUCUCACGUCUUCUUCUUCAACGUUUGAACAAAGAACCAAAAUAAUGGUCUGGCCUUCAAGUUUUGUUUCAGGUGUUUGAACAACACAGACCCUCCCAUAACGAUCUCAUCUUCCUCAUAAACCCUAGCAACCUAGCUCCAACCACCAAGCUACCGCUGCCGCUUCUCCUUCCUAUAAACCUCCAGCGAGCUUCCUCGUCUUCUUAGUAAAAAACCAGAAAAAAAACACUAGGAUGGCUCACCUUUGAACAAAAACAAAAGCGACCCCCUCUCCCAUGGGCUGGCGAUGAAGGAUCACCUAUACAACAAACCCAGCUGAAAACCCUCACGUAAAUCAACUCAAAACAGUUCCCUUUCACACGAAAAACAGCUCCAAAACUCACUUCAAAACAAUCACAACUUCACCCAAAAUCAGUACCAAAAUUUCGGCCGAGUUCGUGUUGAGCCCGUUCAAGAUCUUCGAGUUGCGUUCGCGGUUCAGAUUCGAGUUCGCCAGCUCUAACUGGUUCCUGGUUGGAAAUCCAUGUAUGCUUCUGAAAGUUUCAAUAAAAAUCUGACUAUGCUAUUCUAAGGAUCAACUAUUCACUCCUCUGUUUAUUUUUUUCCUAUUUAACUUUAUGUGUUGUUUUGGUAGUAUUGCUCUUUGCUUCGUGAUCUAUCAUUGGUCUUAGUUUUAUUUUAUUUUAUUGUUUCUUUUAUCACUAUUAAAAUUUACAGGGAUUCAACUUUGUUUUGAGUAAAUUAAUUAAGGAAGAUAUGUAGGUUGUAGCUAUUAGCUAAAUAAUUAGAAUGAUGGUUUAUGCUGGAUAAUGAAUGAAAUGGGACAUUUAGGUGUUUUGGCAUCGUAGAAAAAGCGGUGGUUUAAAUUUGGGCUUAAUAUGAUUUUAUUAAUAUCUUAUUUUUGCCUUAGUCAAUUAAAGCGUUAGAAUAUUUCAGGGACGUUAUUAAUUCAACUAUCAUAAUUAUGGACACGUUCGCGUGACAUAUUUACGACUUUUAAAAUAAAUCGAGGUGUGCCAUACACAAACAAAAAUCUCAAAACCCAUGGCCCUCAAAAGUAGUUCCAACAUCCUUUGAAAUUAAAAUCUGAGGUGUGCUAUUUAGUUGAAUUUUUCAUGGCCUCCCGCAAAGUUAACAACGCGUUAGCUAUUUGAGGCGCAUUAUUUUUAAUAACUCAUCUUCCUAAACUCGGGUGCGCAUUUAUGUGACCAAUAUCCAAAUCCUAACAAUGUUAUAUAAAAUGUGUUGCGAACUACAUGUGCAUUUAUGUGACGCGGUUCAAAACGCGUUUUAUGUGAUGUUGAAUUUUUCUUAAAAUCGAAUAAAAGCGGUUAUAAAGUUUAAAAGUUGCACAUAGGUUUAAAAUGUACUAAAAUUAGAUAAUUAAGCUGAAUAGAACAAUUGAGCGACCGUGCUAGAACCAGGGAACUCGGGAAUGCCUAACACCUUCUCCCGAGUUAACAGAAUUCCUUACCCGGAUUUCUGGUUCGCAGACUGUAAUACAGAGUCAACCAUUUUCCUCGAUUCGGGAUGUAAAUCGGUGACUUGGAACACCAUUAAUUAUCCCAAGUGGCGACUCUGAAAUCUUUAAAUGAAUAAAUCUCGUUUCGAUUGUCCUUUAAUUGGAAGAACUCCUAUAUCUAUGCCCUUCGUGGGGUGUAGUAGUAAAAAGGAGGUGUAACAAUUGUUGAGUAUGACGUAUAUGCAUGGUGACAAGUAUCUAUACGUCGAUAUCAAGCAUGCAUGUGAGUCUUAUACUAUGAUAAAUGUGACUCCGUUUCGUAUUGUUUAUGCUUUAUAUGAUAAUUUUUAUUGUUGAACAAGGUUUGUGGAAGUGUUAUUGGUAAUUGAACAUUGUGGGGCGUUGGCUCAAGUUGUGAUUUGAGUUGUGAAAUAAUUGUUGAAAAGUGAAAAGGUUCAUAAUAUUGUUUCCCUUGUUGGGAUGUUAUUGCUUUUGAUCUUAUCUUGUCGGGAUGUUAUUGCUUUUGAUAUUGUUUUUCUUGCCCGAAUAUUGUUGUUAUGAUAUUGUUCCCUUGACGAGAUUCUAUUAUGAUUUUAUUAAUUUCCUUUCCCGUAUCACUUUGUGAUUGUUAAUUGGGUAAGGAAGAGUGUAAAAGCACGGAUGGUAAUGCCGUGCACGAUAUUUGUGACGAAGGAUGAUGUUGUGCCGAUAUUGUGAGAUUAAAGCACGAAAGGCGAUGUCGUGCCGCAUGAGUACAAUAUUGUGCCAUGAUAUGAGUGAUAAUGCACGAAAGUUAUAUUCUUGCCAUGAUUAUGUGAGGUAAAAACAUGAACGGUGAUGUCAUACAGAUUAUAUUGGUUCUUAUGGUGAGGACGAGAGUAAAAAUAUGAAUUUUGAUGCCGAGCAAAUUGGGUUAUGGUGUUCCUUACAUUAUUUAUUGAUUUUAUGUUAUUACUUGAUAUUCCCUGCAUGAUGUCCCCCCUCCCCCUCUUAUCCUUAACUGUAAAUUUCUAUCUUUACUUUUCCGUUGUAUAUAAUUUAACUGCACAAGUUUAUUUGGUAGUCUGGUCCUAGCCUCGUUACGACUUCGUCGAGGUUAGGCAGGCACUUACCAGCAUAUGGGUUCGGUUGUACUGAUACUACACUCUGCAUUGUGUGCAGAUCCCACUGCUGCAGCUGUUGGACCACAAUGAGGUUGCAUCUUCCAGUCCAUCAGGCGACCUGAGAUAGUCCUGUAGGCGUCCGCAGACCUUGGCGCCUCCUUCUAUCAUUUCCUUCCUACUUUCUUACUUAUUCAGAGACAGAUUCGUGUAUUUCUGUUCUGAAUUUAUUUGUGGUAUUCAUAAAUGAUCCGUGACAUUGUGCCACCAGAUUCUGGGUAGAGUUGUACUUAGACUUCCGC
Molecule: long non-coding RNA, 2910 nt
Filed under: Nicotiana benthamiana
Lineage: Eukaryota; Viridiplantae; Streptophyta; Magnoliopsida; Solanales; Solanaceae
Description: long non-coding RNA (NBEN_LNC039986)
Source: RNAcentral